CGGUGGUUCCAUUUGUUACUUGUCGGCUCCACCGCAAGGUAAAUUUCUCCUCCUUUAAACCCACCGUUCACCAUAUGUUGCAAGACAGGCAAGAGUAACACUCUUGUUUUGUAUUGAGCGUGAGUGCCGACCAUAUCUCAACACCAACAUGUAUCACCCAAGGAACUCACUUCCAGUGGUUUGAGCGCAAGCAAAACAUUAAAGCUUGCCUUACGUCUAUCAUUGGCCCACAGAUGUCGCAUAUCAGAAGGGUUGCCAACCUGGUAGAACACUCGGGUUUCGUAAUAUUUCGUGUUCGUUCGUAUCAUUUUCACAAUUACAUUUCUCAGCUUUCGGCUCGAACUAAUUAGUCUGUCCGCAAACCGCACUGGGAGUAGUAGUGCGCGCCGGGAGUUUAGAGCUAGUACAAAUUGUGGCUAGGCUAAAGUCGGAUCACAAAAGUGAUAGAGUAGAAAUAGGUGUGAUACAGGUGGUUAUUAGGUUGUUCUUUUGUAUAGCCAAAUCCACGUGUGUAAAAAAACACCUGAAAGUUAGUGUGUUAAACUACGGAGGAAAAGGUCCGAUACGUGGGCCUUUUUCUCUUCUUCCACAUCGCUUGGCGGAGCAAGCGGUGAUCAUUUCAUCCACAGAUCAGCAUUGGCCGCUCCUACCUCCCGCGCACGGAUAAACGAAGUUGUGAAUCUCCCACGAUUGCUACGGACGGACAGAUCGACGAAAGGCCCAGUUGUCACGAGCACCGACCGCCCGCCGGCCCACAAAACCGGCCAUUUUGGGAACGCCGUAUUCAUCACCUUCGGCGUCGGUCAUUGUGCACGGCCGCCAUCGUUGGCCAUUGUUCGCUGGCCACUAUCUGCGCCUGUGAAUGCGUGGAUCCGCCAUUGCUCCUUGCCAUCACGCCAUCUCGAUCAUCGGACAUCCUUCUUCGAGUCAAACGCCGGUCAGAGACUCACUGGUGCGAUAGGGAGCGACGCCUAAACGUUACGACAUUCCCGGAGACCCUCCGGUACUGAAGAGUGCCCAGCAUCCUCUCCAAGCGCUGGGGGCAUCGCGCAGCCCGGUUCCCGGCGGGACAGCCGUCAAAUACCCUGCGGAACCGCAUCGUUCGCUCCAUCGCUACACCGGUGACGUCCGGCCAGCCCGCUAGACCCUGAAGCACCGCCCGGUACUACCACCGGUUCCCCGAAGCACCACCCGGUACCACCGCCGGCCCCCGAUGUUCAGCUCACCACCGUGCCGUCAACCACCACCGUUCAAAUGCAGCAAACCGCAAGUACCCUACCCCACAAGUGUUGUGACGUCACAUUAAGCCAAUUCAUUAAGCCAAUUUUGGCCAUAAUAAACUAGAAUGUUAAGAUGAAAA
Molecule: long non-coding RNA, 1360 nt
Organism: Aedes albopictus (Asian tiger mosquito)
Lineage: Eukaryota; Metazoa; Arthropoda; Insecta; Diptera; Culicidae
Exons: 4
Source: RefSeq, a predicted model, not a curated record